RNAcentral lists this ribosomal RNA (327 nucleotides) under uncultured eukaryote. RNAcentral describes it as "partial 18S ribosomal RNA". It matches the Rfam family "Eukaryotic small subunit ribosomal RNA", at positions 1470 to 1796 of the family's 1831-position model. The record is from RNAcentral.
CCCUUAGAUGUUCUGGGCCGCACGCGCGCUACACUGACGAAUGCAACGAGCUUAUAACCUUGGCCGAAAGGUCUGGGUAAUCUCCAAAUUUCGUCGUGAUGGGGAUAGAUUAUUGCUAUUAUUAAUCUUCAACGAGGAAUGCCUAGUAAGCGCAAGUCAUCAGCUUGCGUUGAUUACGUCCCUGCCCUUUGUACACACCGCCCGUCGCUCCUACCGAUUGAAUGGUCCGGUGAAGCGUUCGGACCGUGGCCUUUGGACGGUUCGCCGUCUGUUGGCUGCGGGAAGUUCGUUAAACCUUAUCAUUUAGAGGAAGGAGAAGUCGUAACA